Molecule: long non-coding RNA, 1143 nt
Organism: Triticum aestivum (bread wheat)
Lineage: Eukaryota; Viridiplantae; Streptophyta; Magnoliopsida; Poales; Poaceae
Exons: 2
Source: RefSeq, a predicted model, not a curated record
AGAAAAAGACGGGCAGCGACGAGAGAAAAUAAAACGGGGCCAUCCACAGCGCCCCCACCCCCCGCGACACCCCUCACUCCUACCUCCUCCUCGUCCUUCUCCUUCUGCGCCCUAGGAGCCCCCCGCCGCCGCCGCCGACUGCUACUCCUCCUCGCCCCUUCCUCUAUGUUUCUCUCCUCCUCCUGCUCGCCGCCACCUCCCCUCCCGCCUCAUCUCCAUUUCCCGAUCUGGCAGGCAGAGGAGGAGAGAAAGGAGAGGGAUGGUGGGAUCCGAUGGAUCUGCUCGGGAGCUCGAGGUGCUCAGCCCCGCUGCUCCUCACGCCUUCUCCGCCGCGCUCGGGGAGGGUCGCCGCCAAGGGUGGGGAGCACGAGCUCGGGGGAGGGCUGGAUCCAGCGACUACGCACUCGGGAGCCUCCCCGCGCCACUGUGUCGUGGUCGCCGCGGCAGGGGUCCAGCAGCAGUCGCACGGGGCAGCUGGAUCCACAGGAGCUCGUGUUCGGGGUCACCGUGGAUGGACUCUGAAUUUUAGGGUCUCCGACAUGGAAAUGGUGCAUUUCAGCAUCACCAACUCAACUCCAUGCAUAUGCAGAUGCAGGGGGGAGGAGAGGACCACUACUUUGAUUCUCUGAUUUUUUUUGUGAGAAUUAAGAUGGGUGGCUUCUCGUGUAGAACUCAGUUUACAUAUAUUUUUUAUUUUAUAACUAGACCUAUGCUUUUAUCAGGUUUUCUUAUGAUGUGUUCAUAUUCUGUAGGAAGAGCAUCUUCAUAUCAGGAAGAAAAAUCGUGGGUGGAAGCUACUGACCAUGAGGAUUUACAUCAGUGACCUUCACUCGGGUUGUAAGUAGGAUAUAAUGCAGUAAAGACUUCUAUUCUUGCGAGUCUGGUUAGAUGCACUUGUGAAUGGCUGCUAAGAAAAAAGGCCUCGGAGUGUAGAGAAGGUUUCUGAGAUAUGCAUGCCAAAUAUCUAGCUACUUUGGCAUUUUUGUAGGUAGAUCUGUAGAUAUAAAUAAAGUUGGUUCUAUUGUGAUACUCUCAAUUUCUUCCAGUGUAUGAUAUUCUGAAGGUUGGGGAAUAUAUAUUUACACGAGAUAAAUUAUGAUAUACUCAUGUUUCUUGAACCAUUAAUGACCAUCACUACAUCAA